AUCAAGCUGACGAGUCCGAAAUAGGACGAAACACACGUCCUGAAU
This 45-nucleotide non-coding RNA is filed under the name Schistosoma mansoni. Lineage: Eukaryota; Metazoa; Platyhelminthes; Trematoda; Strigeidida; Schistosomatidae. The record is from RNAcentral.